This 1727-nucleotide long non-coding RNA is filed under the name Piliocolobus tephrosceles (Ugandan red Colobus). RNAcentral's name for it is "lncRNA (ENSPTEG00000027697.1)". The record is from RNAcentral. Lineage: Eukaryota; Metazoa; Chordata; Mammalia; Primates; Cercopithecidae.
GAUCUGGGGGAGGAGAAAGCAGCGGUGGGGUCGUUCGCACGCUCCGCGGUCCGCCUCGGUUGGCAAGGUGGGGUCGGGCGGCAGGCCGGGGAUCAGGCGGAGGCGACUCCACCGCCCCACGGUGCCGCCAAGGGGCCGCUCAUGCCAGCCCCCGGGGGUGGGGGCUCAAGGCUGGGCCGCGGGCUCCCCUGGGGUCGCGGCGUUUGCCUCCUGCGAGGCAGCGAUGGGGGGGGGGGCGGCGGCGGCCACGGAGCUGCUGGGCCUAAUCCAGGUCAGCAGGGGGGGGCGCGGCCGUCGCGGCUGCCUCAGCUGCUGCCUCAGCUGCUGCUGCCCCCGCCGACGCCGGAGCCACGGCCGCGGGCCUCAUCCUACUCCGCCUCAGCGCGGCAGCGGCGGCCAGAACGAGGCCGGCUCGGGCCCUGCGUCAUCGCGCAGUGCGUGCUCUGGUUCCGCCCCCGGCGGCAGUAGGCGAGGGCGGCUCUGGCGGCUCCCAUCCCCCUCUCCACCAGCAGCUGUUCACCGUCCUGCGUCAAUUUUUGCUUGUCUCUGCUUGGCUCGGUACCUGACUCCGAAACCAAUCUCCCGUCUCCCGCGCCUCCCCACAUUCGUUGCUCCCGCCCCGUCUAAGGCUCAGUUCUUACCUGUGCACUGCCUGACAAUCUUCUCACCACCCUCCACGAGGCGGUCUAUUUAUAUAAACCUAUAUCGGAAUGGAUCAGGCCCAUGAUUAAAAUGUUAAAAGGCUUCCCCUUUAUCCCAUCAGAACAAAGUCCUAGCUCGUUAGUGAACCCUCCCUACCUCUCCAAUCAUGUCCUUAUCCUCCCACAUCACAGCCGGAGAGAUUCUUCUUCCAGUUAUAUAUCAGAUUGUUCAUUUAUUUCCAGUCCCAGCACCAAAGUCCAAGCCACCAUCAUCUCUCACCUUGACUUCUGCAAUAGACUCUCAGCUGUUCCUGAGUUCAUCCUUGCCCACAUCCAAUUCACUGUUGGCGCAGUUGACAGAAUUAUCUUUUUAAAAUUUAAAUCAGAUGAGGUCAUUCUCCUGUUAAAACCUUCAGUGUCUCCUCAAGGCUGUCCUUAAAACAAUCCCUAAAUGGUUUACAAAUCUGACUCCCUUUCAAUCUCAUUAUCAGCAUUGUCACCUCUUUCUCAAAUUCUAAACUAGGCUCUCUAAAAUGCUUUUCGUUAUCUGGAAUAGUAUUGCCUCUGCCUGGGGCCUACGUCCAUACUGUUUCUCUCACAGAAACCGGCUUCUCUCCACUCCCAACCUUUCUGCUUCUUAUCAGGCUAAUCAUUAUUCUCAGGAAUCCCUCUGGAUGCAACUUCAUUUCCCCUGGGGAGACUCUCCUGACCCUCCAGUCUGGGUUAGUCGCUUCCUCUGUGCUCUCACACAGCCCGAUCAAGCUGAAUCAUCUGUCCCUCAGUGCAAGGCUGGCACACUGCCCAAGGUAGAGUAUGCUCUCUCCUUGGUUCAGUGAACAGCUCAAACAACAUAUGCAAAAGAAGGAAGCAAGAAGGAUGACAGUGCUCCUGAUAGACGUUCAUUCAACAGGUGGAUCUUGACUGCCUUUCGUUUUAUUCAUCAUUUACUGAAUUUGUGUGUGCGUGUGUAUACCAGAACCCACGCUAAGGACUGAGGAAAAGGAUGAUCACACCUGGCUUGUUGCUGAUAGAGCCCAGAGACCACCUGGGAAGACAAGUAAUCGGAUGAGUCCUAAGCCCACACCC